UAAUACGGGGGGAGCAAGCGUUAAUCGGAAUUACUGGGCGUAAAGGGUGCGCAGGCGGCCCCGCGUGUCAGGCGUGAAAUCCCCGGGCUCAACUUGGGAAUGGCGUCUGAAACUACGGGGCUGGAGUGUGGCAGAGGGAGGUGGAAUUCCACGUGUAGCGGUGAAAUGCGUAGAGAUGUGGAGGAACACCGAUGGCGAAGGCAGCCUCCUGGGCCAACACUGACGCUCAUGCACGAAAGCGUGGGGAGCGAACA
This 254-nucleotide ribosomal RNA is filed under the name uncultured prokaryote. RNAcentral's name for it is "partial 16S ribosomal RNA". It matches the Rfam family "Bacterial small subunit ribosomal RNA", at positions 521 to 774 of the family's 1533-position model. The record is from RNAcentral.